AGCGAACGCUGGCGGCAGGCCUAACACAUGCAAGUCGAACGAACUCUUCGGAGUUAGUGGCGGACGGGUGAGUAACACGUGGGAACGUGCCUUUUGGUUCGGAAUAACUCAGGGAAACUUGUGCUAAUACCGAAUGUGCCCUUCGGGGGAAAGAUUUAUCGCCAUUAGAGCGGCCCGCGUCUGAUUAGCUAGUUGGUGUGGUAACGGCUCACCAAGGCGACGAUCAGUAGCUGGUCUGAGAGGAUGACCAGCCACACUGGGGCUGAGACACGGCCCAGACUCCUACGGGAAGCAGCAGUGGGGAAUCUUGCGCAAUGGGCGAAAGCCUGACGCAGCCAUGCCGCGUGAAUGAUGAAGGUCUUAGGAUUGUAAAAUUCUUUCACCGGGGACGAUAAUGACGGUACCCGGAGAAGAAGCCCCGGCUAACUUCGUG
Molecule: ribosomal RNA, 433 nt
Filed under: uncultured bacterium
Lineage: Bacteria
Description: partial 16S ribosomal RNA
Rfam family: Bacterial small subunit ribosomal RNA
Source: RNAcentral